RNAcentral lists this ribosomal RNA (110 nucleotides) under Pteropus alecto (black flying fox). Lineage: Eukaryota; Metazoa; Chordata; Mammalia; Chiroptera; Pteropodidae. The record is from RNAcentral.
GUCUAUGGCCAUGCUACCCUGAAUGUACCCAAUCUCAAAAGUGAAGCAGGGUCGGACCUGGUUAGUACUUGGAUGGGAGACCAGCUAGGAAUACCCAGGUGCUGUAGGUG